RNAcentral lists this ribosomal RNA (459 nucleotides) under uncultured bacterium. RNAcentral's name for it is "partial 16S ribosomal RNA". It matches the Rfam family "Bacterial small subunit ribosomal RNA", at positions 339 to 795 of the family's 1533-position model. The record is from RNAcentral.
CUACGGGAGGCUCCAGUGAGGAAUAUUGGUCAAUGGACGCAAGUCUGAACCAGCCAUGCCGCGUGCAGGAUGACAGCCCUAUGGGUUGUAAACUGCUUUUGUACGGGAAAAAACUUUUCGACGUGUCGGAAAUUGAUGGUACCGUAAGAAUAAGCAUCGGCUAACUCCGUGCCAGCAGCCGCGGUAAUACGGAGGAUGCAAGCGUUAUCCGGAUUUAUUGGGGUUAAAGGGUGCGUAGGCGGGUUAGUAAGUCAGUGGUGAAAUCCUACAGCUUAACUGUAGAACUGCCAUUGAUACUGCUAGUCUUGAGUAUAGUUGAAGUGGGCGGAAUAUGUCAUGUAGCGGUGAAAUGCAUAGAUAUGACAUAGAACACCAAUCGCGAAGGCAGCUCACUAAACUAAUACUGACGCUGAGGUACGAAAGCGUGGGGAGCGAACAGGAUUAGAUACCCUUGUAGUC